AGUGAACGCUGGCGGUGGGCCUAACACAUGCAAGUCGAACGGCAGCACAGUAAGAGCUUGCUCUUACGGGUGGCGAGUGGCGGACGGGUGAGGAAUACAUCGGAAUCUACUUUUUCGUGGGGGAUAACGUAGGGAGACUUACGCUAAUACCGCAUACGACCUACGGGUGAAAGCAGGGGAUCUUCGGACCUUGCGCGAUUGAAUGAGCCGAUGUCGGAUUAGCUAGUUGGCGGGGUAAAGGCCCACCAAGGCGACGAUCCGUAGCUGGUCUGAGAGGAUGAUCAGCCACACUGGAACUGAGACACGGUCCAGACUCCUACGGGAGGCAGCAGUGGGGAAUAUUGGACAAUGGGCGCAAGCCUGAUCCAGCCAUACCGCGUGGGUGAAGAAGGCCUUCGGGUUGUAAAGCCCUUUUGUUGGGAAAGAAAAGCAGCAGGUUAAUACCCCGCUGUUCUGACGGUACCCAAAGAAUAAGCACCGGCUAACUUCGUG
RNAcentral lists this ribosomal RNA (492 nucleotides) under uncultured bacterium. Its description in RNAcentral is "partial 16S ribosomal RNA". It matches the Rfam family "Bacterial small subunit ribosomal RNA", at positions 29 to 507 of the family's 1533-position model. The record is from RNAcentral.